RNAcentral lists this non-coding RNA (25 nucleotides) under Rattus norvegicus (Norway rat). Lineage: Eukaryota; Metazoa; Chordata; Mammalia; Rodentia; Muridae. The record is from RNAcentral.
UUGACUCCUGCACUGACUCCUGGCU